AUAUAUAAACCAGCAGAACUAAAAUGUGAGCUGAAAAAUAAGAAUAAAUAGU
RNAcentral lists this non-coding RNA (52 nucleotides) under Trypanosoma lewisi. Lineage: Eukaryota; Euglenozoa; Kinetoplastea; Trypanosomatida; Trypanosomatidae. The record is from RNAcentral.